AUCCAGGUCCCAACUCUCAUAGGAGAUGUAGUUGUCAAGGUUUGCUCUGGCGCCCAGCCUGGUCAAAUGGUAGUUUUGAAGAAGAAAGGGAUCAAGACGAGGAACUCUUAUUCAUUUGGUGAUCAAUAUGUGCACUUCAAUGAAUUUGACCCCAAGGCAAAGUGAAUUGAUUGAAGAGUUUGCCAGAGAAGAGCAAAGGGAAUAUGAAAAGUGUGCUACUGCUGGAGCAUCUGGGUAAAAAUGUAAACCAAAAAAGGCUUCAUUUCUUUGCCAAUUCAUAGAAAGUCAAGCUUAGCAAAAAAGGAUAAAGGCAACCGAAGGAAAAGCAUCAAUUGUUGAAAGACCC
Long non-coding RNA from Quercus lobata, 346 nucleotides. RefSeq lists it as uncharacterized. The transcript is spliced from 4 exons. The record is from RefSeq and is a predicted model, not a curated record. Lineage: Eukaryota; Viridiplantae; Streptophyta; Magnoliopsida; Fagales; Fagaceae.